This is an RNA transcript of Vitis riparia (riverbank grape), 2011 nucleotides long. It is a transcript of the gene named protein FLX-like 3, with no coding region annotated. NCBI's taxonomy places the organism in Eukaryota, Viridiplantae, Streptophyta, Magnoliopsida, Vitales, Vitaceae. The record is from RefSeq and is a predicted model, not a curated record. The transcript has 6 exons.
UAGUUUCCCUUUCACGACGGCUACAAAGACCUGGAUUUCUCUUCUCAAGCCAUUGAUCUCAGUCCCUUGAAUAAAAAAUCAGAAUCGUCAUCUCCCUCAAAAGAAAGGAGAACUUGAAAUGGCAGGGAGAAAUCGCUUUCCUCGUGAUGCAUUUGAUGGUCGGCGUGGGUUCCCACCUGAAGGACCUUUCCUGCGUGGUCCUCCUUUGCCUCGGCUGCCUCCUCACCCAGCAAUGCUAGAGGAAGAAUUUGAAAUGCAGCAUGCUGAAAUGAGGAGACUUUUCGGUGAAAAUCGUAGACUAGUUGAAGAUAGAAUGGCUUUGCAGCAAGAACUAGGCGUUGCAAAGGAGGAACUUCAUCGUAUGAAUCUUGCUAUUGGCGACAUACGAGCUGAACAAGAACUGCACUCUAGGGAGCUUAUUGAGAAAGGUUUGAAGCUUGAAGCUGAUCUGCGGGCAACGGAGCCUCUGAAAAAUGAGGCUGUUCAACUCCGUUCUGAAAUUCAGAAGCUCAAUAACAUUAGGCAAGAUCUUGCUGGACAAGUUCAGAACCUCUCGCAAGAAGUUGCAAGACUGCAAGCUGAUAAUAAACAAAUUCCUCUUUUAAGAGCUGAGAUUGAGGGUUUGCACCAGGAGCUUAUGCGUGCUAGGACUGCUGUUGACUAUGAAAAGAAGGGUAACAUUGAGCUGAUGGAACAGAGACAGGCAAUGGAGAAGAAUUUGGUCUCGAUGGCACGUGAAGUUGAAAAGCUACGUGCUGAACUUGCAAGUACUGAUGCUAGACCAUGGGGUGCUGGUAUAUCAGGCGGUUCGUAUGGGAUGAAAUUUGGCAGCCCAGAUGGCGGAUUUCCUGCUCCAUAUGGAGAUGGAUACGGGGCUCAUCUGGGUGCUGCUGACAAGGGUCCUUUCUAUGGUUCGGGCUCUGCAUCAUGGGGAGGACUUGAGAAACCUCGUGCUACACGUCGUUGAGAUGCAGAUGGUACUUGGAUUGCAACAAGAAGUGCACUUGCUACUUUCUGGCUGUCCAUUAUCGAAUAUAUGAAUGAGAAGAAAGAUUUAGAUUCAUCUUAUAUGUGCAUGCUUCAUCAAUAGUCUUUAUCUGAACAUUAUGGCAAGCUGACACCUUUCUGUGUAUAAGGCCUUCUCAUCAAAAGGUAAAGAAAGAAAAUCAGGUAAAUUGAUUGAGGUAAAAUUCAGUAAAGCUGCCAAAAUGAAUACGAGUAAAGGCAUAAAGGGAAGCUGAUUAAUAAUUAAAUUAUUUUACCGGGCUUGUAACAAGUAUUGCUGGAAAUGGAAAAAAUCCUGAUCGGAUUAUUACCAUAGCUCAAAACUUUGGAGCUCCAUGGGAUUUGCUGAAAACUUGCUCCUCAUCUUCUAGAAUUUUCACAUUUUCACACACACUAGAAAGGUUGCACACCACGAGUUAUCACCAUCUCCCAGAUCCAAUUUUGUGAUAGAUUUCAGAGCCUUUUUUCUUCUUUUUUUUGGUAUCUUACUUGAGAGUUGCCAUGUAUGAUAUAGCCUAGGAUGCAGAGCCUGUUUUAAACUUGCAACUGUCAUCUACUGGUCAGGUCUCAUUUAAAGAAUUGAUGCGUCUGUAAGGUAUAUAUAUUUCAAGAUAUUAGUAGGUAGCUGAUCAGACAUUUUCACUUGAAACACUGUGGAAGUAACCAAAGAGUUUUGGCAACUGCUCCUGCCUAUCGUAUUAAGCAUGUUAUUACAUUAAAAAGACACCAGACAAUGUUUUAUAGUAAUUUAGUGGGUGCAUUUCACUCAGAAGAUUUCAUCUUUGAACUGAUAUUUUUGUUUAACAGAUUAGGAGUUGUGUGUGUCAAAGGGGUUAUAUGUUAACAAGCAACUUGGUUAGGUUUUUGCUAUAACAUUUUCUUUUGGCACCUUAAAGGUGGCCCAUCUCUACAUUUAGCUUGUGAUAUUAUGAGUAUUCUGAUAAAAAUUGUGAUGUGUUAUGAUAUUUGAGAUAGCCCAUAUAUUGUAGUUGAAGUGUUGGCCCUC